Penaeus vannamei (Pacific white shrimp) is the source of this 326-nucleotide non-coding RNA. The record is from RefSeq and is a predicted model, not a curated record. NCBI's taxonomy places the organism in Eukaryota, Metazoa, Arthropoda, Malacostraca, Decapoda, Penaeidae.
CUAAGGGACAAAGAAGAUCUAAUAGAAAUGUUAAAGCCAACAGCCUCGCUUUUGCCUCGCACUGACGCAGGGAAGGGCCUAUCCUUACAAGCUACAAGGGAUAAAAGGCCUUUGAAAGCAGCAAGCAGGAGUAGACCCCUGGAAGCAGAAAGGGGAAAUAGGUUCAAAACUUCUCAACAAAAACAGGUUAAAGAAAAGGAGUCUCUCCAAGGAAAUGCAAGGAGGGAAGAGGCUUCAACAGAAGUUGGAAGGAGAAGCAGACACUUGCGAAAGGAAGCUAAAAGUGAGAGAAGAGUUGAGUCACGGCCGAGAGAAGCCACAAGGCA